This is a long non-coding RNA of Enhydra lutris kenyoni (northern sea otter), 770 nucleotides long. RefSeq lists it as uncharacterized. The record is from RefSeq and is a predicted model, not a curated record. The transcript is spliced from 2 exons. Lineage: Eukaryota; Metazoa; Chordata; Mammalia; Carnivora; Mustelidae.
CCGGUGGGGGUGGGGAACGGGGAUGGGGCUGGAAUAUUAGAGAUCACGCUCCUUAUGAAACAGACCAGGAAACUGAGGCUGAGAGGGGGCACGGGACCUAUCCAUCGUCCCGCAGCUAGGACCAGUUUGGGACCGGGAGUCACACUGACAUCCUCUCUGCCAAAAUUCUAUGUUGUUUCAAGUGAGUGAGAAGUCUUCCCACAGAGGACUCAUCAUAGAGAGCGUGUUUCACGUCCGACUUCCCUGUGAGGCAUUUCUUCACCACGGCCUCACAGCACCGGUCCUAGCGGCCUGGGGACUCCGACCCUUCCAAGGUAUGCAAAACCAAAACCAGUUUCACGACAGCGUUAAGCGGCUAUUUGCCAUUGUCCCUGUUUCUCUCCGCAGUGUGCAGUAGAGUUUUCCAAAGACGGUAAGACAGGCGGUGCAGCCACAGACUGCAGAAGCAGAAGGGAAGGAAGAGGACUGACGUAAAACUUGUGCCAGUUGGGUUAUAUCGCCAGAGAAGGGAUUACAACUCAGAUGCUUCCAGAGGCCAGACUUUUGAGUCACACAAACCCAGCGUUUUGGUGGAUUCUGGUGAAGAGUAACCGUCUUGCCUGGCAGAAGGGGCAGCUUGCUGCUGCCACGUUUGAUCAGGGAGCACCCCCCCUGCCAUGUUGUCAUGUCCUCCCUAGGUUUUUGAAAGAAGCUGGAAACCAGGGUUUUAGGCGAAAUGCGUCCAUUUUUUUAAUAUCGGGGAAAGAAAUAAAAUUGAAUACACCAUUGAA